UUCUUUGGAGAGUUUGAUCCUGGCUCAGGACGAACGCUGGCGGCGUGCCUAAUACAUGCAAGUCGAGCGGACCGAACGAGGGCUUGCUCUUGUUUGGUCAGCGGCGGACGGGUGAGUAACACGUGGGCAACCUGCCCGCAAGA
RNAcentral lists this ribosomal RNA (143 nucleotides) under Geobacillus stearothermophilus. RNAcentral describes it as "partial 16S ribosomal RNA". It matches the Rfam family "Bacterial small subunit ribosomal RNA", at positions 1 to 137 of the family's 1533-position model. Lineage: Bacteria; Bacillati; Bacillota; Bacilli; Caryophanales; Anoxybacillaceae. The record is from RNAcentral.